RNAcentral lists this ribosomal RNA (438 nucleotides) under Acinetobacter sp. E23. RNAcentral describes it as "bacterial SSU rRNA". It matches the Rfam family "Bacterial small subunit ribosomal RNA", at positions 43 to 476 of the family's 1533-position model. Lineage: Bacteria; Pseudomonadati; Pseudomonadota; Gammaproteobacteria; Moraxellales; Moraxellaceae. The record is from RNAcentral.
CAGGCCUAACACAUGCAAGUCGAGCGGGGAAGGGUAGCUUGCUACCUGACCUAGCGGCGGACGGGUGAGUAAUGCUUAGGAAUCUGCCUAUUAGUGGGGGACAACAUUCCGAAAGGAAUGCUAAUACCGCAUACGCCCUACGGGGGAAAGCAGGGGAUCUUCGGACCUUGCGCUAAUAGAUGAGCCUAAGUCAGAUUAGCUAGUUGGUGGGGUAAAGGCCUACCAAGGCGACGAUCUGUAGCGGGUCUGAGAGGAUGAUCCGCCACACUGGGACUGAGACACGGCCCAGACUCCUACGGGAGGCAGCAGUGGGGAAUAUUGGACAAUGGGCGAAAGCCUGAUCCAGCCAUGCCGCGUGUGUGAAGAAGGCCUUUUGGUUGUAAAGCACUUUAAGCGAGGAGGAGGCUACCGAGAUUAAUACUCUUGGAUAGGGACGUU